CCUACGGGAGGCAGCAGUGGGGAAUAUUGCACAAUGGGGGGAACCCUGAUGCAGCGACGCCGCGUGGGGGAAGGAGUAUUUCGGUAUGUAAAGCCCUAUCAGCAGGGAAGAACAAUGACGGUACCUGACUAAGAAGCACCGGCUAAAUACGUGCCAGCAGCCGCGGUAAUACGUAUGGUGCAAGCGUUAUCCGGAUUUACGGGGUGUAAAGGGAGCGCCGGCGGCGCGGUGAGCCUGGUGUGAAAGUCCGCGGCCCAACCGCGGGACUGCAUUGGGAACUGGCGCGCUGGAGUGCGGGAGGGGUAGGCGGAAUUCCUAGUGUAGCGGUGAAAUGCGUAGAUAUUAGGAGGAACACCAGUGGCGAAGGCGGCCUACUGGACGGUGACUGACGCUGAGGCUCGAAAGCGUGGGGAGCAAACAGGAUUAGAUACCCCAGUAGUC
RNAcentral lists this ribosomal RNA (441 nucleotides) under uncultured bacterium. RNAcentral's name for it is "partial 16S ribosomal RNA". It matches the Rfam family "Bacterial small subunit ribosomal RNA", at positions 338 to 795 of the family's 1533-position model. The record is from RNAcentral.